UAAAUAGGAGGUGUGGUUUCUGCCAAGA
RNAcentral lists this non-coding RNA (28 nucleotides) under Homo sapiens (human). The record is from RNAcentral. Lineage: Eukaryota; Metazoa; Chordata; Mammalia; Primates; Hominidae.